This 497-nucleotide ribosomal RNA is filed under the name uncultured bacterium. Its description in RNAcentral is "partial 16S ribosomal RNA". It matches the Rfam family "Bacterial small subunit ribosomal RNA", at positions 28 to 507 of the family's 1533-position model. The record is from RNAcentral.
GAUGAACGCUGGCGGCGUGCCUAAUACAUGCAAGUCGAGCGAACAGACGAGGAGCUUGCUCCUCUGACGUUAGCGGCGGACGGGUGAGUAACACGUGGAUAACCUACCUAUAAGACUGGGAUAACUUCGGGAAACCGGAGCUAAUACCGGAUAAUAUAUUGAACCGCAUGGUUCAAUAGUGAAAGACGGUUUUGCUGUCACUUAUAGAUGGAUCCGCGCCGCAUUAGCUAGUUGGUAAGGUAACGGCUUACCAAGGCAACGAUGCGUAGCCGACCUGAGAGGGUGAUCGGCCACGCUGGAACUGAAACGCGGUCCAGACUCCUACGGGAGGCAGCAGUAGGGAAUCUUCCGCCAUGGGCGAAAGCCUGACGGAGCAACGCCGCGUGAGUGAUGAAGGUCUUCGGAUCGUAAAACUCUGUUGUUAGGGAAGAACAAAUGUGUAAGUAACUAUGCACGUCUUGACGGUACCUAAUCAGAAAGCCACGGCUAACUACGUG